This 240-nucleotide unclassified non-coding RNA is filed under the name Hevea brasiliensis (rubber tree). Lineage: Eukaryota; Viridiplantae; Streptophyta; Magnoliopsida; Malpighiales; Euphorbiaceae. The record is from RNAcentral.
AUUUGCCCAACUGGAUACCUUUAUAAUCUCUUGUUUUAGAAGCUUGCUGCAGAGCGGAAGAACUUGGGUAAACGGUCCCAAUUUCUGAUUCUCGUGUAUCAGUUCAGCCAAAUAUCUUUCUCUAUCGAGGGCGGCCGACGAUGAGCGGAUGGAGUGAUGCGGCGACGAAUGGGGGGAGGGGGAAUACUGGAAGUAAGACGAGGGAAGGAUCCUCUCAUCCAUGGCCGCCUUCAACUCUCG